AAGUGAGUUCCAGAACAGCCAGGG
Molecule: non-coding RNA, 24 nt
Filed under: Mus musculus (house mouse)
Lineage: Eukaryota; Metazoa; Chordata; Mammalia; Rodentia; Muridae
Source: RNAcentral